UUGCUUUAAUAUUAUCAUAGCCUGAAAGUUGGUUCUUUUUGGAUAAAGCAUCGAAGGAUUCUUUACUAUGUUGUUGCCAAUUGACGUAUGGUAGUUUUAGGGUCAUAAAGAGGUUAGCUUUCUUUAUAAAUUUUCCUGUACUCGCUAUCGUUUGAAGAAUUAAUGAUAAUUUAAAUUAUAAUUACUCUUAACUAAAUUUGAUACUAAUGUUGAUUUCAAAUAAUCUUUAUUUUGCAUUUAUUUGUUGGUUAUUGGAUAGAAAAUUAAUGACUUUAACAUUAUGACAUAUGCAUUAUCAAAUUUAUCCCUGAAGAGGUCACCAGAAAAUUUGAAACUAAAGAUUUAAAUAAAGGUGGAAACAGAAAAUGAGCAGAAAAAGUAACAAAGAAGAAAAGCAGAGAGGUGAUACGGUCCAAGAAGCAUUUCAAGAAGAUAACAUUCGCUUUACAGUGCAAAAGAAAGAGACAGAAGGAACAAAGUCUGAUAGAAAUAGACCAGGGGUUAGCUUCUAAUGGGACCUUAGGAUUGUCUCAAGUAAACUUCGCCUUCUUCACCUUCUGAUGUUCAUGCUACUGCUGAAAAAUGUUGAUUGGUGAAAGAACAGCAGAAGUUUUAUGCAAAAUGUCAGAGCAUAAUGUGUGUGCUUGCUAAAGCAGAGGCAUUCACAAUCACAAAUCCAUGCUCAUAAGACACUUAAAACAUCAGGGCUGAUUUCCUGUUUUUUGUCCUCCCACAUCCACUGGGAGACCCUUCUUAUUAUAUGCUCACUUUCAUUCUUUGUGGAGAUUUUCUUGCUUUUUCUUUUUGUGAAAAUUGAUCGUACAAAAUUUUCUUCAAGAAAAGAAACUUAAGUUCUGAGAAGAUAACCCGAUGAGUCUAUGACUAUCAACAUGAGGAUUAAAACAAAUUUCCACAG
RNAcentral lists this unclassified non-coding RNA (916 nucleotides) under Hevea brasiliensis (rubber tree). The record is from RNAcentral. Lineage: Eukaryota; Viridiplantae; Streptophyta; Magnoliopsida; Malpighiales; Euphorbiaceae.